GGAGGAAAAGAAACCAACUGGGAUUCCCCUAGUAACGGCGAGCGAACAGGGAAGAGUCCAGCGCCGAAUUCCGCGCUCUUUGCGGGCGUCGGAAAAUGUGGCGUUUAGGAGGAAGCGUGCCGGGAGUCUGACCUUGCAGCAAGUCCCCCUGACCGGGGCUGUUACCCAGAGUGGGUGCGAGGCCCAUAGCUGCUCGGUCUCUCUCGGAUGCGACCUCUUGGGAGUCGGGUUGCUUGGGAGUGCAACCCUAAUUGGGUGGUAAACUCCACCUAAGACUAAAUACGGCCGUGAGACCGAUAGCAAACAAGUACCGUGAGGGAAAGUUGCAAAGAACUUUGAAGAGAGAGUUCAAGAGUACGUGAAACUGCUCAGAGGCAAACGGGUGGGCCCUCGAAAUCCGUCGGCGGGGGAUUCAGUCGGGAAGUGUGGGCGCGUGCGUUGGUCGUUUCAUCUGACCCUUUCCUGGGCAGGACCGACGCCGUCGUCUCUCACGACCCGACGCACUUCCUCCCGCCCUAAGGACGCCGCAGCCGGUUGGGUAGCUGCGCGAGUCGGCCAUAAGGACUGGCAAGGAAGGUGGCCGGUGGCGUUCCUCGUGUUCGUCGCCGGUCGUUAUCCAGCUAGUCCGUGGCACGACACCCGACCGAGGUCGAUAGGUCCAGGUUAGGACCUUGCCGUCCCCUCCCACAUGGUUGAGCGGGCGCACCUACAGGCGAGUUCCCGUGCGGCAGUCCCACUCUCCGAGUGGUCGGCUCACGGGGUUCGCCGUUGGUGUGGAUGCGACCCGCGUGGGGUUUUCAGGCGGCUUGCGGCGAGUAGGUCGGUCACCCACCCGACCCGUCUUGAAACACGGACCAAGGAGUCUAACAUGUGCGCGAGUCACUGGGUCUCGUACAAGCCCAGAGGCGCAACGAAAGCAAGGGCCGGACUAGUGUCGGCCGAGCUGGGAUCCCCCUCCUCCACGGUGGGGGGCGCACCAGCGACCCGCCGUCUCCGAUUCAUCGGUCAGGCGGAGUCUGAGCACACACGUUGGGACCCGAAAGAUGGUGAACUAUGCCCGGGCGGGACGAAGCCAGAGGAAACUCUGGUGGAGGUCCGCAGCGGUUCUGACGUGCAAAUCGAUCGUCAGACCUGGGUUUAGGUGCGAAAGACUAAUCGAACCAUCUAGUAGCUGGUUCCCUCCGAAGUUUCCCUCAGGAUAGCUGGCGCCCGUCGGAAUCAGUCUCGUCCGGUAAAGCGAAUGAUUAGAGGCCUUGGGGCCGAAACGACCUCAACCUAUUCUCAAACUUAAAAUGGGCGAGAAGCACGUCCUGCGUGAACGAGGACCGUGCGUGACGGAUGAGGGUGCCCAGUGGGCCACUUUUGGUAAGCAGAACUGGCGCUGUGGGAUGAACCAAACGCCGGGUUAAGGCGUCGGAUGCGAGACGCUCAUGAGACCCCAUGAAAGGUGUUGGUUGCUCCAGACAGCCGGGCGGUGACCAUGGAAGUCGGGACCCGCUAAGGAGUGUGUAACAACUCACCGGCCGAAGCAACUAGCCCUGAAAAUGGAUGACGCUCCAGCGUCGAGCCCAUACCCGGCCGUCGCGGCAGCACUCCUCUAGUGGGAGGACUAGGCCGCGACGAGUAGGAGGGUCGCGGCGGCGAGCGUCGAAGGUGCCGGGCGUGAGCCCGCCUGGAGCCGCCGCCGGUGCAGAUCUUGGUGGUAGUAGCAAAUACUCAAGUGAGAACCUUGAGGACUGAAGUUGGAGAAGGGUUCCAUGUGAACAGCAGUUGAACAUGGGUCAGCCGGUCCUAAGGAAUCGGAGAAAUCCGUUCCGAGGCGGGACGUUGACUAACCAGAGUGAACACAGCUCGAACGCGUGUUUGUCCCGCCGCAGACCGAAAGGGAAUGGGGUCAAUAUUCCCCAGCCCGGACACGGAGACGGGGCCCUCGGGCCCGAGUGCGGCAACGCAACCGAACUCGGAGACGUCGACGGAGGACCCGGGGAAGAGUUGUCUUUUCUUUGUAAGAGUUCGUGUCCCUGGAAUCGGCUCGUCCGGAGAUAGGGACGCUGUCCUCGUAAAAGCUCCGCGGCUCUUGCGGAGUCCGGUGCGCCUCUGUCGGCCCUUGAAAAUCCGAGGGAGAGAGUGUGAUUUUCGUGCCGGUCCGUACCCAUAUCCGCAGCAGGUCUCCAAGGUGAACAGCCUCUAGUCGAUA
RNAcentral lists this ribosomal RNA (2197 nucleotides) under Crassanapis cekalovici. RNAcentral describes it as "eukaryotic LSU rRNA". It matches the Rfam family "Eukaryotic large subunit ribosomal RNA", at positions 52 to 1892 of the family's 3401-position model. The record is from RNAcentral. Lineage: Eukaryota; Metazoa; Arthropoda; Arachnida; Araneae; Anapidae.